RNAcentral lists this ribosomal RNA (484 nucleotides) under uncultured bacterium. RNAcentral's name for it is "partial 16S ribosomal RNA". It matches the Rfam family "Bacterial small subunit ribosomal RNA", at positions 28 to 507 of the family's 1533-position model. The record is from RNAcentral.
AUUGAACGCUGGCAGCAGGCUUUACACAUGCAAGUCGAACGGCAGCGCGGGGUUCGUUCUUGCGUUGCGUGGCGAACGGGGGAGUGAUAGAUCUGAAUGGGCCCCUUCGUGGUGGAGGGGUCGGCGAAAGCGGGACGAAUACUACAACCGACUAACGUCGGGAGGCGGGGGAUCGUGGGACUCCGCGCUAUUGGAGCGGCCGAUGGCGGAUUAGCUAGUUGGUGGGGUAAAGGCCUACCAAGGCGACGAUCUGUAGCUGGUCUGAGAGGACGACCAGCCACACUGGGACUGAGACACGGCCCAGACUCCUACGGGAGGCAGCAGUGGGGAAUUUUGGACAAUGGGCGAAAGCCUGAUCCAGCAAUGCCGCGUGUGUGAUGAAGGCCUUCGGGUUGUAAAGCACUUUUGGCGGGAACGAAAAGGACUGUGCCAAUACCACGGUUCGAUGACGGUACCCGCAGAAUAAGCACCGGCUAACUACGUG